Long non-coding RNA from Saccoglossus kowalevskii, 559 nucleotides. The record is from RefSeq and is a predicted model, not a curated record. Lineage: Eukaryota; Metazoa; Hemichordata; Enteropneusta; Harrimaniidae.
GGAAGACUUAUAUCCAACGUCUGUACGGUUGUUGCUUGAACACCAGUUUUCUGUUGCAUUUUCAAGUGUUGUGACAAUCAUUUUCUAAUUUCGUCAAAUUAACACACUUGUGAAGAUCUCGAGCUGGUUGUAAUAGAUUCAAAAAUACUUUCUUGGAAGAAAAAGUUUAUAAAUUAUCUAGUGCUCACUGUCGUGCUGAGUUCGACUUAGGAGUGUCGUUUUAGCUCCAUGGUCUACCUGAGUUGUCAUCUAUGAUCGUGUACAAUAACCUGUAUCACUGAGGAGUUAGGCGAUGAACCUUAUAACCCGUCGGUUAAGUUUUGUAGCAGUAUUGCUUGUCAUAUGUCUGGCUAUCUUUAACUUUGCCAUCUUCCCGACAUCUAUAGUAACUUUCACAAAGAAGGAAGAUACAAGGUGCAGUUGUCCUGAAUCACCAUGUGAGACUCAUAUGGCAGAAUCCAAGUACAUCGUUAAAGAAGUACCAGUGUCUGUAUCUGAUGUGAAAAUUCCCUUCACUGCUGGCUUACUCAAAGAUGGACUUGUGUCCUUCAGUGAGGAA